Molecule: non-coding RNA, 143 nt
Organism: Cucumis melo (muskmelon)
Lineage: Eukaryota; Viridiplantae; Streptophyta; Magnoliopsida; Cucurbitales; Cucurbitaceae
Source: Rfam
GAUAAGAGGGUUUGAUAUUAGCCAAGGAGACUGCCUACAAAAACCAAUCGACAACAGUUUCCUCGACCCCUCUCUCUUUCUUUCUCUUUGUAUUAUUAGUUAUAUGCAGGCAAGUCAUCCUUGGCUACAACAUUACCCUCUAC